UGACAAAGUUGAUUACCGAAUGCGGAAAGGCCACAUACAUUAUGUAAGCCAUAGCUCUUCUACCCAGUUCCAGUGUUAAACCUAAUUAGGCCUGUUGGAUACGUCACUAGUCCAAAUAUGUACUAGUGUUUAUGUUGGUUGGGGCUAGUGGAAACACGUGAUUGUGCUACUCAACAAACCAGGAAAUGGUUUGUUGAUUUUCGUUGAAAAAAAAACUUUAUUCCUCAUUAUUGUAUGGAUUACCCAAGGAGUAUGUAUCAACCUAACCUUGUAUGAUGAAUACGUGUGGAAUUUUGAUGGGAGACGGGGA
This 310-nucleotide small RNA is filed under the name Histoplasma capsulatum. RNAcentral describes it as "hypothetical RNA". Lineage: Eukaryota; Fungi; Ascomycota; Eurotiomycetes; Onygenales; Ajellomycetaceae. RNAcentral also lists the same sequence under 1 other name. The record is from RNAcentral.